GAUGGAAGGAAGCUUGCUUCCUAAAGUCAGCGGCGGACGGGUGAGUAACACGUGGGCAACCUGCCCCUAAGAUCGGGAUAACUUCGGGAAACCGGAGCUAAUACCGGAUAUGAUUAUGUCUCACAUGAGACAUAAUGGAAAGACGGUUUCGGCUGUCACUUAGGGAUGGGCCCGCGGCGCAUUAGCUAGUUGGUGAGGUAACGGCUCACCAAGGCGACGAUGCGUAGCCGACCUGAGAGGGUGAUCGGCCACACUGGGACUGAGACACGGCCCAGACUCCUACGGGAGGCAGCAGUAGGGAAUCUUCCGCAAUGGACGAAAGUCUGACGGAGCAACGCCGCGUGAGUGAAGAAGGUUUUCGGAUCGUAAAACUCUGUUGUUAGGGAAGAACAAGUACCAUAGUAACUGAUGGUACCUUGACGGUACCUAACCAGAAAGCCACGGCUAACUACGUGCCAGCAGCCGCGGUAAUACGUAGGUGGCAAGCGUUGUCCGGAUUUAUUGGGCGUAAAGCGCGCGCAGGCGGUCUUUUAAGUCUGAUGUGAAAGCCCACGGCUCAACCGUGGAGGGUCAUUGGAAACUGGGAGACUUGAGUGCAGAAGAGGAGAGUGGAAUUCCACGUGUAGCGGUGAAAUGCGUAGAGAUGUGGAGGAACACCAGUGGCGAAGGCGACUCUCUGGUCUGUAACUGACGCUGAGGCGCGAAAGCGUG
This 711-nucleotide ribosomal RNA is filed under the name Bacillus sp. (in: firmicutes). RNAcentral describes it as "bacterial SSU rRNA". It matches the Rfam family "Bacterial small subunit ribosomal RNA", at positions 68 to 763 of the family's 1533-position model. The record is from RNAcentral. Lineage: Bacteria; Bacillati; Bacillota; Bacilli; Caryophanales; Bacillaceae.